AUUGAACGCUGGCGGCAGGCCUAACACAUGCAAGUCGAGCGGAGGGGGGGACGGGUGAGUAAUGCCUAGGAAUCUGCCUGGGAGUGGGGGAGAGCGAUCGCUAAUGGGCACGAAUACCGCAUCCUAUCAGAUGCGCCUAGGGCGGAUUAGCUAUCUGGUGGGGUAAAGGUCUACCAAGGCGACGAUCCGUAACUGGUCUGAGAGGAUGAUCAGUCACACUGGAACUGAGACACGGUCCAGACUCCUACGGGAGGCAGCAGUGGGGAAUAUUGGACAAUGGGCGAAAGCCUGAUCCAGCCAUGCCGCGUGUGUGAAGAAGGUCUUCGGAUUGUAAAGCACUUUAAGUUGGGAGGCGUUACCAGCAGAAUAAGCACCGGCUAACUUCGUGCCAGCAGCCGCGGUAAUAC
Molecule: ribosomal RNA, 407 nt
Filed under: uncultured bacterium
Lineage: Bacteria
Description: partial 16S ribosomal RNA
Rfam family: Bacterial small subunit ribosomal RNA
Source: RNAcentral